GGAGAACCCUGCAAAAUGUAAUCAUGUCAUUUGGAUCAAAUCAUGAAGCUUUCAAAAAUAAAGGAAAAUACAUUGCUCUUUCCCCUUCCCCACCAGCACUACAAUACUGAAUUAACACAUAAAUGAUCUGCUGGCCAGAGCAGAAUAUGGACCACAGAUGUUAACAACCUGGCACCGCUUGUUGUUUCUCAGUGUUGCAGGAGACAGUUUGUCCUGACUGAAUUCCCAAUGACGUGAAAAGACUGACCAAGUCCAGGCAUUUGAACCAAUUAUUAACUUCAAAUGAUGAGUGCUCAGCUACCUGACAGAUUCCAGUUUGGAAAAAUCCAUCUUUCCAGGAGUGAUGGAGCAGAUGUGUCUACUUUAGCAAUGGGCAGCCUAGAAGAUGGACAUUUGACAGGCGACAAUAGACUGCUCCUUUCCCAGGACUGCCAUUUAACAGCUCCGGCAACCAGUGUAGAAUUUGUGUCCCAAGAAGAGAUUUCUGCCAAACGGAGAAGCUCUUGGGAGCUGUGGUUUUGACCUUGCUUUGUCUCUCAGCCUAAGGAGAGAGCUGAACUUGGGAGAAAUGCUCUGAUCACCAGGGUAAGGUACAAAAAGCAGGUCAGUACAUGCCUUUGGUUUUAAUAAAAUAAAUAUCCAACACUAAUUUCCA
This 655-nucleotide long non-coding RNA is filed under the name Parus major (Great Tit). RNAcentral describes it as "lncRNA (ENSPMJG00000016670.1)". Lineage: Eukaryota; Metazoa; Chordata; Aves; Passeriformes; Paridae. The record is from RNAcentral.